Molecule: non-coding RNA, 4758 nt
Organism: Ictidomys tridecemlineatus (thirteen-lined ground squirrel)
Lineage: Eukaryota; Metazoa; Chordata; Mammalia; Rodentia; Sciuridae
Source: RefSeq, a predicted model, not a curated record
GCGCACGCGCGCGAGGGAGGGAAGCCCAGAGGGGCGGCGGCCGUUGAGAUCCUCUGCGCGAAGCUUGGCGGGGUCGGGUGCUUCGGAGAAGGAUCGGAGAAGUGCAGCUGUCAAGUCCGCUGGCGCAAUGGAGACUGCCAUGCAAUUGAAACCAAGACAUCGCCCCUUUUGCUGCAGCGUGAAAGGCCACGUGAAGAUGCUGAGGCUGGUCCCAAAGUUAAAUGGCCACUUGGGAAGCACUCUAUUCCGGGGCAACAAAGAUAAUAUGCACAGAGGAGCACUUGGGAAGGAUGUUGUAAAGCUUCAGACUUCAGGUAGUAACUGCGACAUCGAUGACCUUUUUUAUCAUCGCACAAGCCCCUGAACCAUACAUUGUCAUCACUGGAUUUGAAGUCACUGUUAUUUUAUUUUUCAUAAUUUUAUAUAUAUUUAGACUUGAUCGAAUGAUGAAAUGGUUAUUUUGGCCUUUGCUUGUAAGUGUUCAGUUUCAUCCUUAAGAUUUAAUUACUUUUUCCUGCCACUGUGACAUAUUUUAGUAAACUCUGUUGCUUUUUUCUCUUACACCUUUAAGAUGGUCUCAGAUAGACUCAAGAAAAAGGAACUCUACCUGCUGCUCAUGUGCUCUGUACUGUCCUUGGGGGAGGGUCUCUAGGGGAUCCUGGGCUGCCACAGAAUAUAAAUUCUCCUCUGUGUUCCAUCUACUAGUAGAUGUGGCUGGCCUUUCUUUUAAGAGAAUUCACUCAAAUAUGGAUCUUCUAAAGAAAUUUAUAUUUAAAUUUCUUUAGGAUCAUGUUAAUAAAAUUAUACAGCAUUUUUAAUCUUUACUUCCCUUUUAACUGCAUGUUUAUAUGGCCUCAAAAUUGGGGGAUAGAGAUGACAGCAGGUUCCUAAUAUCUAUCCUUGUUCAUCCCUGGUCACUAAAUGAAAAAUCAAACUAUUUGGGGAAGAUAAAUAAAAUACAGUGUUAUCUUGCUUGAAAAUGUCUAUGGGAUUUGAAAAUAUCUAUAGUCUUUAAUGCCCUUCCCAUCUUUGGCUGGACAGGUAGCUGCCAUGUCUUUCUCUGCUGUACUUGUCUUGGCCUCUUGGAUUCCAGCAUGCUUAUAUCCAAGCUGGUAACUCCUAUUGAGGAGAGAGGACGUUAGAGUUAUUCUCUGACUAUAAAGGGUACCUUUUGGGACCACCUUUGAAGGCUAAUGAUGAGAAUCUCAGGCUAAUCACAAGCUAAAGAAGUCCCAAACAGGGAAAGCUGGGAAAUAGAUAGGCUUUUCAUAGCCCCUCCCACUUGAUCUACACUUCUGAGUUGAACCUGAUUGGAGGGAGGUCUAGGAAAAGAGAUUACAAGUCUUUUCUCAGAUGACCCUCAGUAGCAGAAAGAAGUAAGCUAGAUUGUCUAAGGAUUUCUCAAGGAGAUAAGGAACACUGGUCCACAUUUGCUUAAAAGUCAUAUAGUUAGUCUUCCUGCUCUGCUUCUCCAGAGUUAAUAAAACUGACACAUUUUAAUAUUUAUCUCCAAAUUCAAUAAUUUUCUGGAGCUUCUUACAUGUCUCAGUAAUAAAAUUGGAGCCCCAAAUUUAACAGAAUACACUGAAAGAGUAGCUUAGUAGUCUCCAAGUCUCAGGAUCAAACCUUGCCAAUGUUGUAAUCACUUAGAAAUAGUGCUAUAUGAGCCGGGCACAGUGGCACAUGCCUGUAAUCCCAGUGACUCCAGAGGCUGAGUCAUGUUCAAAGCUAGCCUCAGCAAUUUAGCAAGGCACUUACUCAGUGAGACCCUGUCUCUAAACAAAAUAUAAAACAGGGCUGGGGAUGUGGCUCAGUGGUUGAGCACCCCUGGGUUCAAUCCUCAGUACCAAAAAAAAAAAAGAAAAAAGAAUGAAUGCUAUAUGAGUAGUUAAGCGACUGCUGCAUUAUGCUUCCCAACUUUUUCUCUGAUCUUGAUCUAAUGAAAUAAUUCAUUCAACAAAUGAUAACACCUCCUAAUCCCACACUUUUAAAUCUGUUCUCUGAUAAAACACAAAUCUUGCUCUUGAAAAACUUUCAAUGUAGUCAGAAAGCAAGAUAGAUGAGAACUCGGUGACUCAGGGCUUGGUCGACAUACAGGAUGCUAUAGAAGCAUCCAGCCAGAAAAGGAGACAAUUACAACAGGCUCAUGAGGAAAGACUGCCUGAGCCAAAGUGGUUAGCAGCAGAGUGCUGGAAGAGAAAGGGGCUUCCUCAGAAGCAGUAACAUAUUCAAGGGUCUGGGUGGAAAAGAGCAUGACCCUCCAGGACCUGCAGGCAGCUCUGAAUGGCUGGAGUAUCAAGCUGUGAUCAAGAAAGUGGGCAGAGGGGGAGGCUUGAGGCAGUAGGGAGUCAGAGCAUGCAAGGGCUUCUGUGCCCUGGGCUUUAACCAAAAGGCUGAUGGGAGCUUUUCAAGAUUUUUAAAAAGAGGAAUAUGACAAGUUUACAGGUUACCAUCAUAGACACUGCCACCAGUGUCUAUAAUGGCUUGAAGAGAAAAAAAAAAAAACUAGAGGUUCUCAAAGACCAUUUAAAAGUCUGACAUCAUAAUCUAGGCAUGAAAAUGAUAAAGGCAUGAACUAAAGUUACAGCUGUACCUAGAAAGGAGAGAUGGGUUAAUGAGGUAGGAUUGAUAGGACACGGGAACGAGGUAGAAUACCUGUUGUUUAAAUAUCUACCUGAACGGGCUUAAGGAAGGGUGGAGAGAGCUGUAUGCAACGAGUUUGGGUACAGAAAUGUUGUUUAAGUUGUUUAUGGGAAACUUAAAUGUCAAUGUUCACUACAGGUCUGAAGCUUAGAGGGAGAAGCUGUAGCUGGAAGUCAUCAACUGCUGAUGGUAACUGAGCUUGGCCUGGCCAGACGGGCCUAGAGAGAGUGUGGAGGGAGCUGAAGGUAAAACUAGGUGGUGAGGAGUGGCCAGGGAAAGGCAGUGUCACAGAAGCCAAGAUAGAAAAGCAUUUCAAGCAGAAAGGUCACAUAGAAAGAAAGAAAGGUAGGUGCUGAAAUAUACAUAUAUUCCUAUUCAUUCACUGGCUGUAUUAAUAAAGAGCCCCCUAAAGGCCUUUUCCAGAGCAGUUUGCCACAAGUUAGGGACAGAGCAGGGAAGGAAAGAAACAGUUGGACCACAGAGGCCACCAAUGAGUGGAGGCAGUUUGGCCAGGGACAUUGAAAGGUUGGUAACAGAAUGAAGUCCCUGCAGAGUGGGAUGAGAGGCAGAACACAGCUGGAGAAUUUGCCAGGGGUCCUUUAACUGCCACUCAACUGAAGGACUCUCUGGUGAAAGAUUCCAGGUAACCUGUGGGCGGGGGAAAGGCAACUUUUAAGUACUUGUGCCUUUAGUGAUUAGAAGGGUUGUCAUCUGCACUUGGAUUUCUUAUUGUUGCACAGUUGUAGUCCCUGACACAAUCUGUAGAGCAGGCCUCCUCUGUUUCCCUCAAGUGUCCCAUUAUAGAAAGCACACCAACUCAGCCAACCCAGGCCUUGGAGGCUCAAAAUUUCUGUGAAAUCUUUCUACAUAUUGAUGUUUUGUUUUUAAUAUGAAAAUGAUUUUAAUUUCCAUUAAGGAUCAUUGAUGUCCUGGGGCGGUACACCACUUUUUUCCUGUGGUUCUCUGCACUCCAUAGAAAAUCACUUUUAUCCAAAAGCCUUUUAUAUAGAGACCAAAUUGCCCACAGGAGGAAGGGCUACCAGGCUGAAGUAGUAAUGUGGCCUUUUACCUUGAAUCAAAGCAAAAUAUUCAGCACACAAGAAAGUUAACCUAGGAUAGCCAGUUUCAAUAUUUCCUGCAAAUAAGAACUUUCUUCCUGAGUAUCUAAUCUUAUCCUACCCCACCCUCAUCAAACCUCUUCCAGCUUUCUUUUGAAUAACUACUUUCCUAAGUUAUUAGUUUUGACAUUUAGUAUUCCUGUCUUGAUUCCCUCCUGCCUGCUUAUCUGCAAACAUACAUAAACCAGAAUAAAGAAUAAAGACAAAGUACUUACCCAUGUUACCCACACUAUAUAUCCAUUCAAAAUUGUAAAUGGCACAUUUUGUUUUUCCCGUAUUUGGGGAUUGAAUCCAGGAGCCCUCUACUACUGAGCUACAUCCCGAGCCCUUUUAAUUUUUGUUUUGUUUUGUUUUUGAGACAGGGUCUUGCUAAAUUGACAAGACUGACCUUGAACUUGAAAUCCUUGUGCCUCAGGCCUAUGAAUCACUUAGGAUUGGUCAGGUGCCACCAUGCCGGCUAAAUUGCACUUCUUAAAACAAAGUUAAGAGUGAAAAGUGCUUUGUGUGGAGAAUUUAUUAAAUGAGUGAGCUAUAUAAGGCAAUAUCGUUGGCCAGCCAUUGUAUACAGAUGUAUAUGGGAUUCAUCUUGAAAAUUACAACUUUCUCUUAAGUACUUAUUUGCUGUCUUUAGUUUUAUUAGUUUCAUUUUAUAACAGAGUUGUUUGAUAUACAAUGUAGACUACUCCACAUAUCUUCUUACAUUAUUAAAAAUGAGCAUUACAACUUCCCAGAGUAUCUACCCAUUCUACCCUAAAACAUAUAAUACAUCUCAUACUCUCCUAGCCAGAUGAGUUCUGCUUCCAGUGACAUUUAUGUUAUGUCAAAAAGAAAUAAAUGCUAAAGUAGUUAAAUGUUUGAUGUAUUAUAGGUAAAGAGAACCACUAGGUGUCAUUGUAGACCAAAUACUAUAUAGGUGUCCUUUACUGUAGCACUUUGGCUUCCUGAAAGAUAUAUGCUAAAAAAUUUAAUAAAAUGGAAUUUUCGAAUUCUUUAAAGA